This 1508-nucleotide ribosomal RNA is filed under the name Enterobacter cloacae. RNAcentral describes it as "bacterial SSU rRNA". It matches the Rfam family "Bacterial small subunit ribosomal RNA". The record is from RNAcentral. Lineage: Bacteria; Pseudomonadati; Pseudomonadota; Gammaproteobacteria; Enterobacterales; Enterobacteriaceae.
GCUCAGAUUGAACGCUGGCGGCAGGCCUAACACAUGCAAGUCGAACGGUAGCACAGAGAGCUUGCUCUCGGGUGACGAGUGGCGGACGGGUGAGUAAUGUCUGGGAAACUGCCUGAUGGAGGGGGAUAACUACUGGAAACGGUAGCUAAUACCGCAUAACGUCGCAAGACCAAAGAGGGGGACCUUCGGGCCUCUUGCCAUCAGAUGUGCCCAGAUGGGAUUAGCUAGUAGGUGGGGUAACGGCUCACCUAGGCGACGAUCCCUAGCUGGUCUGAGAGGAUGACCAGCCACACUGGAACUGAGACACGGUCCAGACUCCUACGGGAGGCAGCAGUGGGGAAUAUUGCACAAUGGGCGCAAGCCUGAUGCAGCCAUGCCGCGUGUAUGAAGAAGGCCUUCGGGUUGUAAAGUACUUUCAGCGGGGAGGAAGGUGUUGUGGUUAAUAACCACAGCAAUUGACGUUACCCGCAGAAGAAGCACCGGCUAACUCCGUGCCAGCAGCCGCGGUAAUACGGAGGGUGCAAGCGUUAAUCGGAAUUACUGGGCGUAAAGCGCACGCAGGCGGUCUGUCAAGUCGGAUGUGAAAUCCCCGGGCUCAACCUGGGAACUGCAUUCGAAACUGGCAGGCUAGAGUCUUGUAGAGGGGGGUAGAAUUCCAGGUGUAGCGGUGAAAUGCGUAGAGAUCUGGAGGAAUACCGGUGGCGAAGGCGGCCCCCUGGACAAAGACUGACGCUCAGGUGCGAAAAGCGUGGGGAGCAAACAGGAUUAGAUACCCCUGGUAGUCCACGCCGUAAACGAUGUCGAUUUGGAGGUUGUGCCCUUGAGGCGUGGCUUCCGGAGCUAACGCGUUAAAUCGACCGCCUGGGGAGUACGGCCGCAAGGUUAAAACUCAAAUGAAUUGACGGGGGCCCGCACAAGCGGUGGAGCAUGUGGUUUAAUUCGAUGCAACGCGAAGAACCUUACCUGGUCUUGACAUCCACAGAACUUUCCAGAGAUGGAUUGGUGCCUUCGGGAACUGUGAGACAGGUGCUGCAUGGCUGUCGUCAGCUCGUGUUGUGAAAUGUUGGGUUAAGUCCCGCAACGAGCGCAACCCUUAUCCUUUGUUGCCAGCGGUUAGGCCGGGAACUCAAAGGAGACUGCCAGUGAUAAACUGGAGGAAGGUGGGGAUGACGUCAAGUCAUCAUGGCCCUUACGACCAGGGCUACACACGUGCUACAAUGGCGCAUACAAAGAGAAGCGACCUCGCGAGAGCAAGCGGACCUCAUAAAGUGCGUCGUAGUCCGGAUUGGAGUCUGCAACUCGACUCCAUGAAGUCGGAAUCGCUAGUAAUCGUAGAUCAGAAUGCUACGGUGAAUACGUUCCCGGGCCUUGUACACACCGCCCGUCACACCAUGGGAGUGGGUUGCAAAAGAAGUAGGUAGCUUAACCUUCGGGAGGGCGCUUACCACUUUGUGAUUCAUGACUGGGGUGAAGUCGUAACAAGGUAACCGUAGGGGAACCUGCGGCUG